Molecule: ribosomal RNA, 634 nt
Filed under: uncultured fungus
Lineage: Eukaryota; Fungi
Description: eukaryotic LSU rRNA
Rfam family: Eukaryotic large subunit ribosomal RNA
Source: RNAcentral
AUAUCAAUAAGCGGAGGAAAAGAAACUAACAAGGAUUCCCCUAGUAACUGCGGGUGAAGCGGGAAAAGCUCAAAUUUAAAAUCUGGUGGUCUUUGGCCAUCCGAGUUGUAAUUUAGAGAAGCGUCUUCCGCGCUGGACCGUGCACAAGUCUCCUGGAACGGAGCGUCGUAGAGGGUGAGAAUCCCGUCUUUGGCAUGGACACACCAGGGCUUUUGCGAUGCGCUCUCGAAGAGUCGAGUUGUUUGGGAAUGCAGCUCAAAAUGGGUGGUGAACUCCAUCUAAAGCUAAAUAUUGGCGAGAGACCGAUAGCGAACAAGUACCGUGAGGGAAAGAUGAAAAGCACUUUGGAAAGAGAGUGAAACAGUACGUGAAAUUGUUGAAAGGGAAACGCUUGAAGUCAGUCGCGUCGUCCGAGACUCAGCCUCGCCUCGGCUUGGCGUACUUCUCGGCCCGACGGGUCAGCAUCAAUUUCGCCUCUCGGAUAAUGGCGAGGGAAAAGUGACACCUUUACGGUGUGUUAUAGUCCCUCGUCGCAUGCGAGGGUCGGGAUUGAGGAACUCAGCACGCGCCCUCGGGCGUCGGGGUUUUCGCCCACGAUACGUGCUUAGGAUGUUGGCGUAAUGGCUUUAAACGA